CCUACGGGAGGCAGCAGUGGGGAAUAUUGCACAAUGGGGGCAACCCUGAUGCAGCGACGCCGCGUGAGCGAUGAAGUAUCUCGGUAUGUAAAGCUCUAUCAGCAGGGAAGAAAAUGACGGUACUUGACUAAGAAUCCACGGCUAACUACGUGCCAGCAGCCGCGGCCAUACGUAGGGGGCAAGCGUUAUCCGGAUUUACUGGGUGUAAAGGGAGGGUAGACGGCUGUGCAAGCCAGAUGUGAAAGCCCGGGGCUCAACCCCGGGACUGCAUUUGGAACUGUGUGGCUGGAGUGUCGGAGAGGCAGGCGGAAUUCCUAGUGUAGCGGUGAAAUGCGUAGAUAUUAGGAGGAACACCAGUGGCGAAGGCGGCCUGCUGGACGAUGACUGACGUUGAGGCUCGAAAGCGUGGGGAGCAAACAGGAUUAGAUACCCUUGUAGUC
This 440-nucleotide ribosomal RNA is filed under the name uncultured bacterium. Its description in RNAcentral is "partial 16S ribosomal RNA". It matches the Rfam family "Bacterial small subunit ribosomal RNA", at positions 338 to 795 of the family's 1533-position model. The record is from RNAcentral.